ACGGGGUGCAGCAGGCGCGAAACCUUUACAAUAUGCGAAAGCAUGAUAAGGGAACUCCGAGUGCCAGUAUCUAAUACUGGCUGUCCUUGUGCCUAAAACGCACAAGAUAGCAAGGGCCGGGUAAGACCGGUGCCAGCCGCCGCGGUAACACCGGCGGCCCGAGUGGUAGCCGCUAUUAUUGGGUCUAAAGGGUCCGUAGCCGGUUCGAUAAGUCCUCUGGGAAAUCUGGUUGCUUAACAAUCAGACUGCCAAGGGAUACUGUCGAACUUGAGACCGGGAGAGGUAAGAGGUACUUCAGGGGUAGGAGUGAAAUCUUGUAAUCCCUGGGGGACCAUCUGUGGCGAAGGCGUCUUACCAGAACGGGUCUGACGGUGAGGGACGAAAGCUGGGGGCGCGAACCGGAUUAGAUACCCGGGUAGUCCCAGCCGUAAACGAUGUUCGCUAGGUGUCAGGGGCGGUGCGACCGUUUCUGGUGCCGUAGGGAAGCCGUGAAGCGAACCACCUGGAAGUACGCCGCAAGGC
This 522-nucleotide ribosomal RNA is filed under the name uncultured archaeon. Its description in RNAcentral is "bacterial SSU rRNA". It matches the Rfam family "Archaeal small subunit ribosomal RNA", at positions 325 to 849 of the family's 1478-position model. The record is from RNAcentral.